This 22-nucleotide transfer RNA is filed under the name Rafnia angulata subsp. angulata. RNAcentral describes it as "partial transfer RNA-Leu (UAA)". The record is from RNAcentral. Lineage: Eukaryota; Viridiplantae; Streptophyta; Magnoliopsida; Fabales; Fabaceae.
AAAAUCCGUCGACUUUAUAAAU